This is a long non-coding RNA of Musa acuminata subsp. malaccensis (wild Malaysian banana), 844 nucleotides long. RefSeq lists it as uncharacterized. Lineage: Eukaryota; Viridiplantae; Streptophyta; Magnoliopsida; Zingiberales; Musaceae. The record is from RefSeq and is a predicted model, not a curated record.
CCCGAGGGCGAAGGAGGGAGUCGAGGUUCGGCGGUGAUUACAAAGAUUUGUCGUUGGUUUAUCGUUCUCUUUCCAUGUAUUUGGGUAAAAAUUGGAUUUUGGCGGAAAAGAAAAGAUUCGUUCUUGGUUUGCUGAAUGCUACAGGAUGUUUCGUGUGGAAUCUGUACAAGAAAUACUCUUUUUGUUCACGUUAUUUUUUCUCUUCGGAAUGUGUUGCAACCGAGCGGAGAUUAAAGCUCGGCUGGUCGGCGCUGGUGCUUGGUUUGUUUAUUUGUGCAUAUGAGAACAUAUCUCGAUGAAGAAAUACAAAUGUAAGAUCAGAACAACUAACAUCCCUUCCAUCCAAUCUCGACGAGCCAGAGUUCAACUCUUUCGAACGGGAAGCAAAGGAAGCAGACUAUCAGACUCAUUUGGAUUUCUCAUUUGUGGCACUCUCUGUAGCUUCACCUGAGAUGGUCCUCUGUGAACAAAGAAGACAGCUCAGCUCCCGGAGCUUCAAAACAUCCAUCUUGUCAUCCAUUUCUAGGUAGAGCAGCAGAUAAAUGGUGUGUUCUUCAACUUCUUUGGAUUUGAUGGAACAUAUGGAAUGUGCGGGAUCAAAGCUGUGGAGGACUCCAGUGGCAGGCUUGAGAGGACCACUGUUGAGGACAUGGACAUGGCAGUCCGAGCUGAUGCAAAUAGUACAAGUUCAUCCUUGAAUUCAUCUUUUUGAUGGGCUUCACUCUGUAAACUCAUUAUUGGCAAAGUAUGUUUUAACAUUCUGAUGUCAUCAAGAAUAGAAAAGGAAAAUUGUGUACUGCCUCUUAAAUUCUUCUGCCCUGAUAGAGAGUGUGAAGAAUGUUGA